Molecule: ribosomal RNA, 774 nt
Filed under: uncultured Neocallimastigales
Lineage: Eukaryota; Fungi; Neocallimastigomycota; Neocallimastigomycetes; Neocallimastigales
Description: partial large subunit ribosomal RNA
Rfam family: Eukaryotic large subunit ribosomal RNA
Source: RNAcentral
UAUGUGAUCGUCUCUCGCAUAUCAAUAAGCGGAGGAAAAGAAACUAACAAGGAUUCCCCUAGUAACGGCGAGUGAAGCGGGAAGAGCUCAAAUUUGAAAUCUUAAAGGGUUUCCCUUUACGAAUUGUAGUUUAAAGAAGUGUUUUCUGUUGAGGUUUUGGUAAAAGUUCUUUGGAAUAGGACAUCAUAGAGGGUGAGAAUCCCGUAUUUGACCUUUACUUUCAACUUUGUGAUACACUUUCAAAGAGUCGGAUUGUUUGGGAAUGCAGUCCAAAAUGGGUGGUAAAUUUCAUCUAAAGCUAAAUAUUGGCGAGAGACCGGUAGCGAACAAGUACCGUGAGGGAAAGAUGAAAAGAACUUUGAAAAGAGAGUUAAACAGUACGUGAAAUCGUCAAAAGGGAAGCGUUUGACACCAGUGUUGUUUUUCUGAAAAUCAAUUAAAGAACUGUUUAUGCUAAGUUGUUUAGACUUUAUCAGCUAUCUGUUUAGUUUUGAGCUUUUCUUUAAUGCACUUUUCAGUUAACAAGUCAACAUCAAUUUCUUUUGCUGUAAAAAAGCUUGAGGAAGGUGGCUUGAGAUUCGUCUUAAGUGUUCAUAGCCUCUUGCCUAUGCAGUCGGAGAGAUUGAGGUCUGCAGCGUAGAUCCUUCGGGGCUAAAUGCAUUUGUGCUAAGUUAUAGCAUUUUAUAGACAACUUGUUGACUAUGAUUUGUCUUGUAGCUUACUCGCUUAUGUUAUUUUACCUACGCUUAGGAUGUUGAUAUCGCGCUCUCACUG